UGGGGAAUAUUGGACAAUGGGGGAAACCCUGAUCCAGCGACGCCGCGUGUGUGAAGAAGGCCUGCGGGUUGUAAAGCACUUUUAGUGGGGACAAAAAGCCACGGAUUAAUACUCUGUGGUCUUGAUUUAACCCAAAGAAAAAGCACCGGCUAACUCUGUGCCAGCAGCCGCGGUAAUACAGAGGGUGCGAGCGUUAAUCGGAAUUACUGGGCGUAAAGCGCGCGUAGACGGUUUUGUAAGUCAGAUGUGAAAUCCCUGGGCUCAACCUGGGAACUGCAUUUGAGACUGCAUGGCUAGAGUAUGGAAGAGGGAAGUGGAAUUUCCGGUGUAGCGGUGAAAUGCGUAGAUAUCGGAAGGAACACCAGUGGCGAAAGCGACUUCCUGGUCCAAUACUGACGUUCAUGUGCGAAAGCGUGGGGAGCAAACA
RNAcentral lists this ribosomal RNA (427 nucleotides) under uncultured bacterium. Its description in RNAcentral is "bacterial SSU rRNA". It matches the Rfam family "Bacterial small subunit ribosomal RNA", at positions 355 to 774 of the family's 1533-position model. The record is from RNAcentral.